Molecule: ribosomal RNA, 415 nt
Filed under: uncultured archaeon
Lineage: Archaea
Description: partial 16S ribosomal RNA
Rfam family: Archaeal small subunit ribosomal RNA
Source: RNAcentral
GCGCACCAGUCGCGAAAACUCCGCAAUACACGAAAGUGUGACGGGGCUAUCCCGAGUGCCGUCCGCUGAGGAUGGCUUUUCCCCAGUGUAGACAGCUGGGGGAAUAAGGAGAGGGCAAGUCUGGUGUCAGCCGCCGCGGUAAUACCAGCUCUUCGAGUGGUAGGGAUGUUUAUUGGGCCUGAAGCAUCCGUAGCCGGCUGAGCAAGUUCUCUGUUAAAUCCAGCGAUUUAAUCGUUGGAUUGCGGGGAAUACUGUUCGGCUAGGGGCCGGGAGACGCAGAAGGUACUCCUGGGGUAGGGGUGAAAUCCUAUAAUCCUAGGGGGACCACCAGUGGCGAAGGCGUUCUGCGAGAACGGGCUCGACGGUGAGGGACGAAAGCCAGGGGCGCAAACGGGAUUAGAUACCCCGGUAGUCC